UUUCCGUAGGCGAACCUGCGGAGGGAUCAUUAUUGUAUAACCGAGGUGCGAGGGCUGUCGCUGACCCGAAAGGUCGUGCACGCCCGUGUGCCCUCACACACAUCCAUCUCACCCCUAUGUGCACCACCGCGUGGGUCCCCCUUUGGCUUGUUCGGAGGGGGGCUUACGUUUUCACACAAACUUUGUAUGCAGUGUAGAAUGUAUUUUUUGUUUUUGCGAUCACGCAAUCAAUACAACUUUCAACAACGGAUCUCUUGGCUCUC
Molecule: unclassified non-coding RNA, 263 nt
Filed under: plant metagenome
Description: partial contains small subunit ribosomal RNA, internal transcribed spacer 1, and 5.8S ribosomal RNA
Source: RNAcentral